RNAcentral lists this ribosomal RNA (253 nucleotides) under uncultured bacterium. RNAcentral's name for it is "partial 16S ribosomal RNA". It matches the Rfam family "Bacterial small subunit ribosomal RNA", at positions 524 to 776 of the family's 1533-position model. The record is from RNAcentral.
GACGUAGGGCGCGAGCGUUGUCCGGAUUUAUUGGGCGUAAAGAGCUCGUAGGCGGCUCGUUGCGUCGGCUGUGAAAACCCGCAGCUCAACUGUGGGCUUGCAGCUGAUACGGGCGGGCUGGAGUUCGGUAGGGGAGACUGGAAUUCCUGGUGUAGCGGUGAAAUGCGCAGAUAUCAGGAGGAACACCUAUUGCGAAGGCAGCUCGCUGGGACGUAACUGACGCUGAGACGCGAAAGCGUGGGGAGCAAACAGG